GACGAACGCUGGCGGCGUGCUUAACACAUGCAAGUCGAACGGAAAGGCCCCAGCUUGCUGGGGUUAUCGAGUGGCGAACGGGUGAGUAACACGUGGGUGAUCUGCCCUGCUCUCUGGGAUAAGACAGGGAAAGUGGGUCUAAUACCGGAUAGGAUCGGGCCUUCGGGUGUGAGGUGGGGAGCUUUGCGGUUUUGGCUGGGCAAGGGGCCUAUCUGCUUGUUGGUGGGGUAAUGGGCUACCAAGGCCGAGACGGGUGGUCGGCCUGUGAGGGUGUACGGCCACAAUGGGACUGAGGCACGGCCCAGACUGCAACGGGAGGCAGAGGUGGGGAAUAUUGCCCAGUGGGAGCAAGCCUGAUGAAGCGGCGCCGCGUGGGGGAUGACGGCCUUCGGGGUGUGAACCCCUUCCGGCAGGGACGAAGCUUUUGUGACGGUACCUGCAUAAUAAGCACCGGCUAACUACGUG
RNAcentral lists this ribosomal RNA (465 nucleotides) under uncultured bacterium. RNAcentral's name for it is "partial 16S ribosomal RNA". It matches the Rfam family "Bacterial small subunit ribosomal RNA", at positions 28 to 507 of the family's 1533-position model. The record is from RNAcentral.